Camelus dromedarius (Arabian camel) is the source of this 192-nucleotide long non-coding RNA. RefSeq lists it as uncharacterized. The transcript has 3 exons. The record is from RefSeq and is a predicted model, not a curated record. NCBI's taxonomy places the organism in Eukaryota, Metazoa, Chordata, Mammalia, Artiodactyla, Camelidae.
CCUCCAUCUAGGUUUCCCUCCCUUGUGUUGCAGCCUGGAAAGCCAAUUUUGGAAGCCAGAAGCCAGAAAUCAUUCACUGGGCUAAAGUCACGGUGUUGGCAGCUUGGACGGUUAAGCCUGUUGCCCAAGAACACAUUCAUAUCACGUUUGCCAUGGACUCUUAACUCAGGUAUGUUUAGCUCAGAAUGAAUU